RNAcentral lists this transfer RNA (69 nucleotides) under Echinostomatidae sp. CA-2021. RNAcentral's name for it is "tRNA-Glu". Lineage: Eukaryota; Metazoa; Platyhelminthes; Trematoda; Plagiorchiida; Echinostomatidae. The record is from RNAcentral.
GUCGAUUAGGUGUUGUUACAUGCUAGUUUUUCGUACUGGAGUGGAUCUAUAUUUUGGGAUUAAUCGAUG